RNAcentral lists this ribosomal RNA (253 nucleotides) under uncultured bacterium. RNAcentral describes it as "partial 16S ribosomal RNA". It matches the Rfam family "Bacterial small subunit ribosomal RNA", at positions 524 to 776 of the family's 1533-position model. The record is from RNAcentral.
UACAGAGACUGCAAGCGUUAAUCGGAAUUACUGGGCGUAAAGGGUGCGUAGGCGGUUCGUUAAGUCUGUUGUGAAAUCCCCGGGCUCAACCUGGGAAUGGCAAUGGAUACUGGCGAGCUAGAGUGUGUCAGAGGAUGGUGGAAUUCCCGGUGUAGCGGUGAAAUGCGUAGAGAUCGGGAGGAACAUCAGUGGCGAAGGCGGCCAUCUGGGACAACACUGACGCUGAAGCACGAAAGCGUGGGGAGCAAACAGG